Non-coding RNA from Lolium perenne, 670 nucleotides. The record is from RefSeq and is a predicted model, not a curated record. Lineage: Eukaryota; Viridiplantae; Streptophyta; Magnoliopsida; Poales; Poaceae.
ACUGGGUGUUAAUCUUUUUUGCUUCGUUUCUAUAUAUAUUUAUGAUGUUCUCCUUAAUGUAUUCUCAGUUCUAGCUUAGGUGAGAGGACGUGACUGGUCACAAAAGGAAAGUGACCAUGGGGGAAUUUUAUGCUAAGAUAUUUCUCUCCCUCGUGAUACUGCACGGACAGAUCAGCGAUAUGAAUGUUCGGAGGCAGAAGGUUGUUUGUAUGGAGAGAUGUAGGAAGGGAGAUGAGGAUGUGAGCAGCAUGAAGACAUAUUUCAUUGAUGCUUGGAAUCUGCGUCGAUGUUGAGGUGCCAUGACGACAAGGGUGAUAAGACCCAUAGUAGCAAGGAUGUUGGGUGGGUCCAAGGGCUCGGAAGAGGAAGAGGAAGACAUACGAGAGGCGGAAGAAACCAUCGAAUGGGUCAGAGGUAGUAGCCAAAGGAGGGCAAAGGGGCUGUCGAGGACAUUUUCUCCAGUGCAUGCCAUCGGAUUCUAAUGGAGCUCAGCCAACCCAGCGGCCCUUCUUUUACCAUAGCGGUGGCAGCGGCGGCGGGAGGGGCAGAGCUCUGCUCUGAUCCUAUAAUAAGCUGAUCCUAUGGUUUAAAUUCUUACUUGAUAAUGCCAUUUGCGCGAUAGCGCAACAGGUCAUCUAGUGCUCAUAAUACCUCCUUGCAACAAAUGCUG